AUGAUCAUGUGUGCAUGGUUUUCGUCUGUGACUGAUAGCAGCAUUUGUCUGUGUUUUGCAUUCAGAUCUUGCUAUCCACACAAACAUCAUGCAGCCAAAGAGUAAGUUGGGAUCAUAGUACUGGUCUAUAGUGUUGUCUCUUUGGACCUGUCUACCAUUGGCCAGCCUCCAAAUUCCCAGACACAA
This 186-nucleotide small nucleolar RNA is filed under the name Catagonus wagneri (Chacoan peccary). RNAcentral's name for it is "Small nucleolar RNA SNORA23 (ENSCWAG00000015804.1)". It matches the Rfam family "Small nucleolar RNA SNORA23". Rfam says of the family: The members of this family belong to the H/ACA class of snoRNAs which are thought to guide the sites of modification of uridines to pseudouridines. This family includes human snoRNA ACA23 (SNORA23) and mouse snoMBI-1. Lineage: Eukaryota; Metazoa; Chordata; Mammalia; Artiodactyla; Tayassuidae. The record is from Rfam by way of RNAcentral.